ACUCAUGGCGGACGGGUGAGUAACGCGUAAAGAACUUGCCCUUUAGACUGGGAUAACAGAGGGAAACUUCUGAUAAUACUGGAUAAGUUAGUAUAUCGCAUGAUAUACAAAUGAAAGCUACGGCACUAAAGGAGAGCUUUGCGUCCUAUUAGCUAGUUGGUAAGGUAAGAGCUUACCAAGGCGAUGAUAGGUAGCCGGCCUGAGAGGGUGGACGGCCACAAGGGGACUGAGAUACGGCCCUUACUCCUACGGGAGGCAGCAGGG
RNAcentral lists this ribosomal RNA (264 nucleotides) under uncultured Leptotrichia sp. Its description in RNAcentral is "partial 16S ribosomal RNA". It matches the Rfam family "Bacterial small subunit ribosomal RNA", at positions 91 to 354 of the family's 1533-position model. Lineage: Bacteria; Fusobacteriati; Fusobacteriota; Fusobacteriia; Fusobacteriales; Leptotrichiaceae. The record is from RNAcentral.